This 497-nucleotide ribosomal RNA is filed under the name uncultured bacterium. RNAcentral describes it as "partial 16S ribosomal RNA". It matches the Rfam family "Bacterial small subunit ribosomal RNA", at positions 28 to 507 of the family's 1533-position model. The record is from RNAcentral.
GAUGAACGCUGGCGGCGUGCCUAAUACAUGCAAGUCGAGCGAACAGACGAGUAGCUUGCUCCUCUGACGUUAGCGGCGGACGGGUGAUUAACACUUGGAUAACCUACCUCUAAGACUGUGAUAACUUCGGGAAACCGGAGCUAAUACCGGAUAAUAUAUUGAACCGCAUGGUUCAAUCGUUAAAGACGGUUUUUCUUUCACUUAUAGAUGGAUCCGCACCGCAUUAGUUAGUUGGUUAGGUAACGGCUUACCAAGGCAACGAUGCGUAGCCGACCUGAGAGGGUGAACGGACAGCCUGGAAGUGAGAAACGGUACAGACUCCUAGGGGAAGCAGCAGUAGGGAAUCUUACGCGAGGGGCGAAAGCGUGACGGAGGAAAGCCGCGUGAGUGAUGAAGGUCUUAGGAUCGUAAAACGCUGUUAGUAGGAAAGAAGAAAUGUGUAAGUAGCUAUGAACGUCUUGACGGUACCAACAGAGAAAGCCACGGCUAACUACGUG